UGCUUUUGGAAAAGCGGAGAUCAAAGCUGGGGAUCGUAAGACCUGGCGCUUGAAGAGGGGCCCGCGCCUGAUUAGCUAGUUGGUAGGGUAACGGCCUACCAAGGCAACGAUCAGUAUCCGGCCUGAGAGGGCGGACGGACACACUGGGACUGAGACACGGCCCAGACUCCUACGGGAGGCAGCAGUGGGGAAUUGUUCGCAAUGGGCGCAAGCCUGACGACGCAACGCCGCGUGGAGGACGAAGAUCUUCGGGUCGUAAACUCCUGUCGAGUGGGAAGAAUGCUUCGGGGGUGAAUAGCCCCCGGAAUUGACGGUACCACUAAA
RNAcentral lists this ribosomal RNA (324 nucleotides) under uncultured soil bacterium. Its description in RNAcentral is "bacterial SSU rRNA". It matches the Rfam family "Bacterial small subunit ribosomal RNA", at positions 182 to 485 of the family's 1533-position model. The record is from RNAcentral.